This 497-nucleotide ribosomal RNA is filed under the name uncultured bacterium. Its description in RNAcentral is "partial 16S ribosomal RNA". It matches the Rfam family "Bacterial small subunit ribosomal RNA", at positions 28 to 507 of the family's 1533-position model. The record is from RNAcentral.
GAUGAACGCUGGCGGCGUGCCUAAUACAUGCAAGUCGAGCGAACAGAUGAGGAGCUUGCUCCUCUGACGUUAGCGGCGGACGGGUGAGUAACACGUGGAUAACCUACCUAUAAGACUGGGAUAACUUCGGGAAACCGGAGCUAAUACCGGAUAAUAUAUUUAACCGCAUGGUUCAAUAGUGAAAGACGGUUUUGCUGUCACUUAUAGAUGGAUCCGCGCCGCAUUAGCUAGUUGGUAAGGUAACGGCUUACCAAGGCAACGAUGCGUAGCCGACCUGAGAGAGUGAUCGGCCACACUGGAACUGAGACACGGUCCAGACUCCUACGGGAGGCAGCAGUAGGGAAUCUUCCGCAAUGGGCGGAAGCCUGACGGAGCAACACCGCGUGAGUGAUGAAGGUCUUCGGAUCGUAAAACUCUGUUAUUAGGGAAGAACAAAUGUGUAAGUAGCUAUGCACGUCUUGACGGUACCUAAUCAGAAAGCCACGGCUAACUACGUG